Molecule: non-coding RNA, 74 nt
Organism: Parelaphostrongylus tenuis
Lineage: Eukaryota; Metazoa; Nematoda; Chromadorea; Rhabditida; Metastrongylidae
Source: the annotation of a GenBank genome assembly
CCCUUGGUGGUGUAGCGGUAGAGCACGCGUCCUCGGCUAGGAUGAAACGUGUGGUUCGAUUCCGGACUUGGAGA